Molecule: ribosomal RNA, 465 nt
Filed under: uncultured bacterium
Lineage: Bacteria
Description: bacterial SSU rRNA
Rfam family: Bacterial small subunit ribosomal RNA
Source: RNAcentral
AACGAACGCUGGCGGCAUGCCUAACACAUGCAAGUCGAACGAGACCUUCGGGUCUAGUGGCGCACGGGUGCGUAACACGUGGGAAUUUGCCUCGGGGUAUGGAAUAACUCAGGGAAACUUGAGCUAAUACCAUAUAAUGUCUUCGGACCAAAGAUUUAUCGCCCUGAGAUAAGCCCGCGUAGGAUUAGCUAGUUGGUGAGGUAAAGGCUCACCAAGGCGACGAUCCUUAGCUGGUCUGAGAGGAUGAUCAGCCACACUGGGACUGAGACACGGCCCAGACUCCUACGGGAGGCAGCAGUGGGAAUCUUAGACAAUGGGGGAAACCCUGAUCUAGCCAUGCCGCGUGAUCGAUGAAGGCCUUAGGGUUGUAAAGAUCUUUCAGUGGGGAAGAUAAUCGACGGUACCCACAGAAGAAGCCCCCGGUCUAAACUCCGUGCCAGCCAGUCCGCGGUAAUGUGACUACUG